RNAcentral lists this long non-coding RNA (825 nucleotides) under Marmota monax (woodchuck). Lineage: Eukaryota; Metazoa; Chordata; Mammalia; Rodentia; Sciuridae. The record is from RNAcentral.
UGAAUGAGGCCCCCACACUGAAAAUUAAAAAGCUAAUAGCAAAUAGUAAUAGAAUCAAUACCAAAUACUGGUGAGCAUGUAACUAUUUCUGCUUUGCUUAUGACAGUAUAAAAUGAUACGGGCACUCUGAAAAAAUAGUUGAAUAGUUUCUUAAACUUUAUAAAAUAAUUUUAUUAAUAAAAUGACAGGGUUGAUGUUAUAGCUCAGAAGUAAAACACUCACCGGGCAUGCAUGAGGCACUGGGUUCAAUCCUCAGCACCCCAUAAAAAUAAAGGUAUCCACCUACAACUGAAAAAUAAAUGUUUAAAAAAAAAAUGACAGCUAAGUGUGAUGGUUCAUACCUGUAAUCUGAGUGACUGCAGCCUCAGCAACACAGUGAGGCCCAAAGCAACGUAGCAAAAUCUUGUCUCAAAAAGUAAAAAGUGCUAGGGAUAUAACUCAGUGGUAAAGCACCCCUAGGUAAAGCAGCACUGGUACCAAAAUAAAUAAAUAAAUUAUGGUAACCGGUAGCAGCAUACGCCUAUAAUCCCAGCUACUCCGACGCUGAAGCAGGAGGAUGGCAAGUUCAAGGCCAUCCUAAGCAACUUAGUGAAACCUUGUCUCAAAAUUUAAAAAGCCUGGGAAUGUAUUGCAGUGGAAGAGUGCUUGCCUAGCAUGUGUACAAAGUUCUGGGUUCGAUUCCCUCCCCCUCCCAAAAAAAGAGAAAGUAACAAAAUGAUAAGGAUCUUUGUAGUGACUGAAUAGUUCUUUAUCUUGAUUGUAAUCAUAGUUACAUAAAUUGACACUCUCAAUAAAAUAAGUAUCCAUCACAAAUUUACACUGAGG